GCAAGUCGAACGGUAACAGGUCGCUGCGAUCCCUUCGGGGUGAACUUGACGCUGACGAGUGGCGGACGGGUGAGUAAUACUUAGGAAUCUACCCAGUAGUGGGGGACAACACGACGAAAGUCGUGCUAAUACCGCAUACGCCCUAAGGGGGAAAGUGGAGGAUCUUCGGACUUCACGCUAUUGGAUGAGCCUAAGCCGGAUUAGCUUGUUGGUGAGGUAAAGGCCUACCAAGGCGACGAUCCGUAGCUGGUCUGAGAGGAUGGCC
RNAcentral lists this ribosomal RNA (265 nucleotides) under uncultured bacterium. Its description in RNAcentral is "partial 16S ribosomal RNA". It matches the Rfam family "Bacterial small subunit ribosomal RNA", at positions 57 to 305 of the family's 1533-position model. The record is from RNAcentral.